CCACUGGCUCGCGCGGCCGCCGCUGCUCUGGUGUUGCCGCUUCCUCGGGAAACCGGAAGUGCCUGCCACGGGGUGGGAGAUGUGAUCAGAAAACUGGAAAAUGUCUGUGCGAGUUCCAAAAUGUCUGUUGGACUCCUAGGUACCCGGGAACCCGAGGAGCAACCUGUCUCCACUUCUCUCCCUCAUCCCGGUUCCAGGAUGAGGUCGUGGAAAAAAAGAAAGAAAAGCAAGAGGAAAUUUCACGACCUCACUGGCUAUGGAGGGAAACCCAUGUUUGAAGUGGGUGGACAUGAAAAUACAGUCAAAGGAUUAAUAAAAUUAGGAGCCCUGCUUCCACCUGCUAUCCUGCCAACUCCUUGUUGGCAACUUGUGAAAGUGUGAACCAAAAUAAACCUCCCUCCUUUAAGUCAUGACUGGGUGUUUUGCAACAGUGAUGAAAAAAUGACCAAGACAAUUGCCGUAGGUGAAACGAUAAGGAAUCUCGUUAACUCACCAACCUGUUGUCUGUUUGCACAAAAGACAGGAAAGCUUGACCUGGUCUGCAGGAUAGCCAGCUGACAGGUCAGCCUUGAAAAGUGUGAACUUGUGUGGCACAGAAAGAAGACUGCAGUCCAUGCUAAAGGGAUUUGCUGUAGGAUGCUCCUCCUCACCUGGAACAGAUCCUCACCAGGAAAGGUACUGGGGAAGCACAAAUGUCCUCCUAUUCCCUGCAGAAGCAGAAUCCUGACAGGCAAAGAGAUGGAGCUGAGUGAUUAUCAGGCCACACUGGGACAGACAUACUGUGGGCUCUCGCAGUGGCCUUGGUGCUCAGCACCUGUGUUUCUGGGAAAGUGACGACAAAAUUUUAGGCAUUCUCCAAAUCAUGACUGUGGGGCUGCAAACCAAACAAGAUGGGAUGAGAGGAUUCAUUGCAGAGGUUCGAGAGCUGAGCAGCAGGGAAAACAAGUUGGGUUCCACCAGUCAUCCCCUCGCCCAGCUCAUCAUGCUGCCUCAGCCUGAAGGAGGAUGGAGCUUACUGACAGAAAGGCCAGUAAACACCAUUCUCCUCAUCCAUUCCUACAUUUGACCCUGGCCUGCCAUGGUGGAAGCUUCCUAGUGAAGUGUGGGUUCAGAGCCCUUCAGAGAAAGGGGGUGUGUGAAAAGCUCCUUUCAUCAUUCCUGGCUGCUUUCACAAUGAGUGCCAAUUUGGGUGUCAUUUACUAAGAAAUGGUUCCUGGGAUGGAGGUGGCUUCUUCUCAGUACCUAGUGAGUGUCAAUGAUUUAAGGUCCUCCAUGACUUGAACACAGUAUCUAGUUAAGUGUACUAGUGUACUUCAAAAAUAUGGGAAAUGUAAACUUUAAAAAGCUUUUUAUCAUAAAAGUAACUUUGUCAAUCUCCCUCAAAAUACUGCCCCUUACUUUGAACACAUUUUCUGGAUUAGUUAUGGAAGUCCUCUUUUGUGAGUGUCUUUAGAUGCACUGUCAUGGUUGCCUUGAUGUCCUGAUUCCAUUUUUUUUUUUUUUGUUUUGUUUUUUGUCUUUUUUCCUUUUUAUCGGUACCGGGGAUCGAACUCACGACCACUUCCUCGCAAGGCAGGCACUUAUGCCGCUGAGCUAAAUCCCCAGACCCCUGAUUCCAUUUUAAACACAUGUCAUUGUAUUUUGACUUUGAGGAAGAGCCAGAAGUUACAUAGUGCCAGAUCUGGUGAAUAAAGUGCAUGCAGACACACUGACAUGUAUUUAUAAGCCCACAUUUUUGUUGGAUAGCACUUGGCAGAGAUGUUCAUUUUAUUUUUGAACACAGCUUGUGAAGACACUCAUGCAAGAGGACUCCCAGAACUGCUUCAGCGUGGCAAGAAGGGUGGGAUAAGUAUGAUCAGAGCAAAAAGAAAGUAUUUUGAGGGAAGUUAUGGCAAAGUAUCAUUUAUGGUAAUAAUUUUUUUAAAAUACUGUAUUUUUUAUCACACCACGUAUGUCUGUUCUUGCUCCUUUCCCACUAAAACUGUACCAGAAGAAUGUUUAAAAUGUACUAAUACUUAAUCUUCAAGAGAACAGAAUAGAAAACACAGAUGUCAGAUGAGGGAGCAAAUAGGGAAGAUGUGACUGUUGGAACAGAGCUAAACCCUAAGCCUGCAGUGGAGAAAGCAGACACAAGCUGCUUCAUGCUGCAGAAUUCUCAGAAGGCCCAGAACUUCUGGAAAUGAUAGGCGGGGAGAGCUCAGCCAAGGGGUUUGAAAAGGUAUCAGGUAUUUGAAAAGUAGGUAAACGGGCCCCAUUUCCAAGUCUAUGCUCUUGGGCAACUGACCAUCUUCUACCCCAGUGUUAAUUCAAAGAUUUAUUCCCAGUAAAGAAGAAAAAAGAGAUUCUUUAGGCAGAUUCAGUGUCCUCUCAGUGACAUGCUGAAAUCAGGUAACUUGAUUGUAGGUGAACUGAAACCUCAGGAUCCACAGCUCCCUUUCCUCACUCCUCUCCUAGGAGGACAGAAGAUUGGGAAACCCUGCUCCAAGGAAGGAUCUCACUCUGGGAGAAAGACCUGAGAUGCUAUUGGAAUUCCCAACUGAAGGCCCUGCCUAGCCACGAUCAGUGUUGCUGAGUCAAAUCCCAGCUGUGUCACUCACCAACUCUAUAGACAAUGACUGUCCUCUCUGAGUCUCAGUUCUUAGGGCUGGAAAAUGUAGAGGAGAGAGCUGCGUCCAGCCCAAGUGGCUGCUGCAGGCACAAAUGAGUCAAGACACUGAAGGUGUCACCUGCUCCUGUGCUGGGGAGCACAAUUGGCCAUUCUCUUAGCUGAAACCUGCCUCUCUCUAACCCACUCCCCACAGGAAGUGGUGGCUUCCCUCAUCAGGGCCACACACCCAUACCCUAGGCCUGAGAUGAGACAACACUGUGUUCUCUGUGUCAUCUCCUGUCACCGGCUGGAUGUUCCAGCCUCUACUGAGCUCCCACAGAACACACCAGAAACAGGCAGGUGCUGCACAGCUAAGGAAGAGGAAACCCUUUCCCUACAGUUACUGGAAAUGUUGCAGCCUUCUGAAAAGCAUCCCAGACUCCACUCUGACAGUGCUGUGAGGUCCCAGGUUCAUGAAAGGCCCAUGAUGUCCCCCAUUCAAGGUCCCCCAAGUUAGCCAGGCCUUGUCCAGUUCCCUUCCUUACACAAUGCAUUAUGGGAGUCUGAGAACCUAUCCACCUCUAGGUCCCUCACAGUCAUCUAGUCAAAGACCAGUCCUGUCAGGGUGCUGAAGGUGUUCCCUGAAAGAGCAGAUGACACAGGAGAAAUGCAACAAGCUAGUUCCCAGGGCCCAGGGAAGAAGACAGAGCUUCAGUCAUACAGAGAAAGCACACUCAGUACCAACCCUGCAGAGCAGGUGCCCCGACCUCCAUUACAGGAAAGGGGAAACCAAGGCUCGAAGGAAAGAUGUCACUUCCUGCACGCGUGUGACCAGGAUGAACUGGGCUGGGAUUCAAACCAAGCCAGCCCAGUUGAAAGCUCACAUUCUUCCUGCUGUACCGCCCAGCCUUUGGCUGUUCCUCACAGACUUGGUGUAGACAACACUAUUGCCUUCUUGUCUGUGAGCACUUUAAAGUCUAGGAAGCAAAGGAGCAAGGAAGAAGGGCAGUGUCCUCAGCAGCUGCUUUCACACAACUGUUCUUGUCUCUUCACCUUGACUGUAACACUCCUAGGGUCCUGGGGUUGGGGGACACAGAGCCAGGCCUGGCCAGCCUGAUCUCCGAAGGUCCUGCUCGGCCCAUAAGUCUACUAAGCCACCAUUCUGCCUAACCAAUGCCGCAUGCAAUUCUAACUCCCACAAUGGCCUGAAAAGCCCAACUCGGCCACCUGGAUCACAUCCUCUGCUGGCCAAGGACUGCCUCAGCUCUCCACAGAGGACCAUGCUUUCAAUUUUGCUACACUCUGUCAGCCAACCUACUCCACAUCCCUCAUCCACAUUCUCUGGCAGGCCAGCUCUGAAACACACAGCUGGGGACCUCCAAAGGUGUUCCUGUUCUAUGAAGGACACGUUGUCUAGAGUGGGACAGAUCUACAAUCUUACCUGUGCCUAGUCCCGUCCCCCCCCACCCCGCCCCAACCUCAAAGGUCAAAUUAAAGCAGAACCUGUGGAAAACGCCAUUACUUGUCAGGGCCUGAUUAGAAAAGGCCUCUCCCUGUUGUGUCUUAGAUGUCUACAUGUUAGGCACAUCCCUGCCUGACCUCUGUGUCUGAAGGCCAAUCCCCAUCAGGUUGACGUCUUCCCACACACUCCCCCAGGCACCUGAAUUAUCCUUGAACACAGGCUUAAAAGUGCUUAGGGGUCCUCCAUCUACAGCAGGCUGUGGGAAGAACAGAGGCUCAACUCAGCUUUCCCAGAGCCCAUCCCACUGGGGUCGGUGCCUUGGAAUAAGUGGCCAGCAGCAGGCCAGCCUACGUUACCCAGGGUUGCAGUGCAGGGUUUCUAGGCUCCUCUGAGCAUCUGUCCUCACCCUGCCUGAGCCCACACCUGAGGGAGUAGUCACUUAGUGAACUCUGAGAGGGGGAAGAGGAGACUGGCUUUUGGUUAACAAAAGUGAAACCACAGUACAGCCACUGACCAUGACACUCUGACCUUCCAAUGGGGAGGGCAAGCAAGAAAAUUACCACUUGAGCCAGACCUGGAGAGACUUUGCAAAGGACCAGGAGAGGCCAGUGGAGAGCAGCCAGUGCCAUCUAGGACAAUCAGGGCCCUGGAGAAGGAACUACUUACGAGGAGGGCCCAGGGGCCCUGGCUUCUGAAAGCAGAGAUUGGGAGGACAAGUGGCUCUGUCUUUGCAGAACAUGCACCAGAAGGGAAGGUGAGGAGGGGUACCUGGUGACCGAAUGCUGGUGCAGUUCUAGUACCACACAAGGUCGUGAGAGCUGGAAAGUAAUUUCAGAAACACAGCUCAAAGCAGCUACUCUGAAAACAGCUGCAGCGUGGGCAUCGAGAUCUGUUGGCUGCUGCCGUAACAGAAGUUCUGAGACUUAGUACUUUAUUCUUUUUAUGAGACAGGGUCUGCUAGGUAGCCUUGAACUCACUAUGUAGUUGUCUUAUUUUUCUUGUUUCAGGGACAAAACACCUAACACCCACAAGUUAAAGGAGCAGUGAUAUUUUUUAGCUCACAGUUUGCAGAAGUUUUAGUCAGAUGGUUCAAAGGCAGGAUUGUGUGGCAGAGGAGCAUCACAGAGGAGUGACAGACAGAAACAAGAGACUUCCUUCUUCGUUCUUAUUUUAUUUCACCCAGGCUACAAGCAUAUUAGUUGGUGCCACCCACACCCAGGGUGGAUUUUCUGUCUUCAGGAAAUACUUCAUCCACCCCCAUAUCUAUACUAAACCAAUCAGUGAACUAAUUCACUGUCACACCCGAGUCUGGCAAUCUCUGUAACCAAUGCAUGGGCCCUUUUCUACAUAUUCAUCUUUUCCUUCAUACAGGUAUGUCCAGCAUGCAGGACAUAUUUCCUCUCUUUCUUCUUUUCCUGUCCUCUUCAAUAACCAUCACUCUUCAAUCAGUAUUAAACUAUUAUGUUCA
Long non-coding RNA from Cavia porcellus (domestic guinea pig), 5517 nucleotides. RefSeq lists it as uncharacterized. The record is from RefSeq and is a predicted model, not a curated record. The transcript is spliced from 2 exons. Lineage: Eukaryota; Metazoa; Chordata; Mammalia; Rodentia; Caviidae.